Molecule: ribosomal RNA, 253 nt
Filed under: uncultured bacterium
Lineage: Bacteria
Description: partial 16S ribosomal RNA
Rfam family: Bacterial small subunit ribosomal RNA
Source: RNAcentral
UACGAGUGCCUCAAGCGUUAUCCGGAAUCAUUGGGCGUAAAGGAUGUGUAGGUGGUAGUGUUAGUCUCUUGUUAAAUUCUUCGGCUUAACCGGGGGCAUGCAAGGGAAACGGCACAACUAGAGGAUGCGAGGGGUCUGCGGAACUCAUAGUGUAGCGGUGAAAUGCGUUGAUAUUAUGGGGAACACCAAAAGCGAAGGCGGCAGACUGGAGCACUCCUGACACUGAAACAUGAAAGCGUGGGUAGCGAAUGGG